This 478-nucleotide ribosomal RNA is filed under the name uncultured bacterium. Its description in RNAcentral is "bacterial SSU rRNA". It matches the Rfam family "Bacterial small subunit ribosomal RNA", at positions 33 to 507 of the family's 1533-position model. The record is from RNAcentral.
GACGCUGGCGGCGUGCUUAACACAUGCAAGUCGAACGGAGUUCCUUGGAUAGAAGGCUUCGGCCAAUUGAAAUGGAACUUAGUGGCGGACUGGUGAGUAACGCGUGAGGAACCUGCCUUUCAGAGGGGGACAACAGUUGGAAACGACUGCUAAUACCGCAUGAAACAUUCGGAUGGCAUCACCUGAAUGUCAAAGAUUUUAUCGCUGAAAGAUGGCCUCGCGUCUGAUUAGCUAGUUGGUGGGGUAACGGCCCACCAAGGCGACGAUCAGUAGCCGGACUGAGAGGUUGACCGGCCACAUUGGGACUGAGAUACGGCCCAGACUCCUACGGGAGGCAGCAGUGGGGAAUAUUGGGCAAUGGACGCAAGUCUGACCCAGCAACGCCGCGUGAAGGAAGAAGGCUUUCGGGUUGUAAACUUCUUUUAAGUGGGAAGAGCAGAAGACGGUACCACUUGAAUAAGCCACGGCUAACUACGUG